UUUUGUCCUAAGUAUAAUUGCAUUAGUGAUAUAGGAAGGUAUCUCAUAAUAGGGUUUUAUUGUAUUUCCCCUUAAAGUUGCAUAAUAAGUAUCAGCUUCCAUAAAGGCAUUUACCUGCAAAAUCAUCUGACUAGUUUCUCUGAAUAUAUUCCAUAGUUUGUACUGAAUAUGUUCACUUGGGAAGUUUCUAGUCUGGUGUUGAUUUUCAUAUAAUUAAAUAUUUGUAUACUGAUUAGUUGAAAAGAACUGAGAGUUAACAGAGGGUUUGGUAAGCAAUGAGUUGGACUGUUUCCCAAUUUUUCCUGCUCAGGAAAGGUUACAGAUAAUGGUUUUGAUUACAUGUCAGGUGAAAGUAUUAUAAAUGCUGUGAUAGCUAGGGUCUUGCUUGUGUAGAACCUCUUGGAUGCAGACAUGUCUGGGCAUGUCUGAAGCCCAGCAGGGCACUGUCCACUCAGUGCAUGAAGGACUGAGGAAGUUUCUUGAGAUAGGAUUCCUUCUUUCCAAGGAAGAAAGGAAGGAGGUAGUCAAGCUUGACCCAAUAACAAAGACAAUCUUCAGAAAGAAGCAGGGAUUUUGAGUUCAGCUUUGAGUCUUGUUUGCAGCUGAUUUAUUUCCCAGUAUAGACCCCUAUGGACUCCUUCCUGUGGCUUCUGACCUGUGAAAUGUGUGUGUAAGGCACCUGGCUGGGCGUGUGAGGAGGGACACCUCUGAAUAAAAGCUGAAAGAGCUGAGUGACUAGGAUUCUCUCAGACACCAUUGUUUUGGUACUAACAUUAAUAGAUAUAAUACGGAAAGUAGGAAGAGGAGUAUCCAUCUGUUUUGCAAAAGACAAAGCAAAAUAAAAAAACGAACACUACAAAACAAACAAAAAAACACACAAAAACAAAAUUGCUGCUGUUUUGACUGACUGCUACAAGGAGCCAUGUGUGAAAUUGUGGGCAAUGUGGGAAGUGAUGUAGUUCAGCAGAAGUGCAUCAUUGUGUCAUAGGAUUUAGGGGACAAGCCCACUAGGAGAGGAAUGGGGGGUGGGGAAGAAGAGAAAGUGAGUCAUUGAGGCUGCUUAUAUUAUGAUUAAUUACUGGAUUGGUGAACAAUGUACUUACUUGCUCUCCUCCAGUUUUUUCAUUAUUAAAAUGGUCAUUAGAACCACUUGUUCACUUUCAUGUUUGGUGGGUGGUGAAAAUUAAAAGACUUAUUUGCUUUAAAUUUUUAAAUUUAUUUAAGGUGUGCCUAUUUAUGAAAAAUCUUUCUUCUCAGUAUUGGAAUAAUAGAAAAUACAUUUCUUCACCCCUUACAUGGCAUGAAUAUCUAUUUUAAAUGGAAGAGUGUGGAGUUCCCGUCAUGGCUCAGUGGUUAACGAAUCCGACUAGGAACCAUGAGGCUGUGGGUUGGAUCCCUGCCCUCACUCAGUGAGUUAAGGCUCCAGCAUUGCCGUGAGCUGUGGUGUAGGUUGCAGGCGUGGCUUGGAUCCCACGUUGCUGUGGCUCUGGUGUAGGCCGGUGGCUAUAGCUCCGAUUAGACCCCUAGCCUGGGAACCAACAUACGCUGAGGGAGUGGCCCUAGAAAAGGCAAAAAGACAAAUAAAUAAAUAAAUAAAUGGAAGAGUGUGUGGAAUAUAAGUUAGCUGGACUCCUCACUCUUGUUAAGUCCCCCCAAAAGUUCACCAAAAUUCUUUAUUUGGAGGGACUUCCCUGUGCAUUGUACUAUAUUUAGCUCCCCUAACCUCUGCUCACUAGAUGUCUAUAGCGUACCCCCUACCCUUCAGUUUUGUCACCAUAAAAAAUAUCUCAAGACAUUGUCAGGGAGGGGAGGCAGAAUUACUCCAGAUUAAGAAUUAAUGCUGUAAUAUAACACAGUGUACUAAUUUGAAACAAAGACCUUGGACAAAAUAGUGUUGGUAGAAUUGGCCAUAAAGUUAUUAAAAUACUCACUCCUACACAUUGUGCCAGAGAAUGUGGCAUAAUUCUUAAAUCUUGGCAAUUUGUUUCUUGAUAUGUAAAUAUGAUAAAUGCUUACAUAUGUAAAUAUGAUAAAAACUAAUAACAGUUGCCUUUUAUUGAGGACUUUCUGAGUGCUAGUCAUUGUCCUAAGCACUUCAUCAACAUUCCACUGAAUUCUCUUAGCAACUCUUUGCAGUUGGUAUUAUUAUUCUAAUUUUUCAGAGAAGGCUUAGAAAAGUAAAAUGUCUUGCUUGAAAUCACACAGUUAGCAAUUGAUAUAUAAUAGCAUUUAAACCUAAAUCUACUUGGGCACAAGCUUUGGAGGAUUACUUUCUGAAUUUGUCAGAGUCCUUGUAGGAAAAGGCCCACUCUAAUGGGGUGACAGAUGAGACUCUAACAGAGGUCACAUUUACAGAUGGGGCAGGACAUCUACAGGGAACAGUGAAGUUUCCUGUGCAAACAAGACUUACCAGACCUUACACCAGUCUGAGGGAGCCACAGAGGAGGAAGUAGUUGCCAUACCUCAGAAGAGUGGCUGUAGCUCUGGAAGGACUGACAGACAGGAACUCGGUGGGUUCAGCCAGCUCAACAGCUGCCAGACAGGAAGGCACACUCUACCUCCCACCUUUUGAUCUCCCACUGCUCACUUCCAGAUCCACCAGGAAGCCACGGGGCAAAGGAGCCUGUGGCUGUUGCAUUGACAGAGGUCAGCUCCUAGGGCUCAGAGCUGGAUAAAGAGAAGAGAGUGAAUUUUGAGAGGCAAAGGGAAAUUUUCCAGGUCUCUUUAACCAUAAUGAAAUUUUAUAUAGUUAGGAUAUUUAUGAAAUAUUUUUGACCACCUAAAUAAACCAUGACAAUACCUAGUAGUAAUGAUGUGCUAUUAAGUAUAAAUUGAGGUGUAUUGAAAGUUUCAAGAGUUACACUUGAACACUUAUUCAUUUGAAAUUGUUACUGUUGAUCUGGAAGUAGUUAGGAGCACGCUGCUAACAGGAGCCAGGGGGAAAGACUGACAUUGAGAAUGUGUGGAAGCAAAGAAAGGAAGUUAUUUGCUUGGCGAUAAUUUAAAGACUAGUUGGCCGUUUGUGAUUAGUUGUCCUUAGCGUUUUGAUUUCACAAUCUUGAGGCUUUUUACAGGCUUGGAUUUUGGUUUGCUUAGGUAGACCUUCACGGUAUUAUAGCCACUUCAGUUUAGUGGCCUCUUUGUUUAAUUAAUUUAACAGGGCUUUAGCAGGUGUGCCCACACUUUUCUUGUAGAGGGCCAGAUAGCAAAUAUUUCAGCCUCUCUGGGCCCUGUGGUCCCCAUUGCAACUACUCAACUCUUGUUGUUACAGAGCAAAUGAAUGGAUGAAUUGGCUGUAUUCCAAUAAAAUUAUUCUUAUAUUUUUUGGUACAAAGUGCUGCAGUUUGCCAACCUCUCUACUAUAGGAAAACAUAACACUUUGUAUCACAUAUACUAAAUUAUGCCUAGUCAUUGAUCCCCCAACCCCAGAAGCCAAUAAAGAACAAACAAAUGAAAACUGUGGUGCAUUUCUUUUAUAUAUACAGAUCACUUAUUAAGGCUUAAAAAAUUAAAGUCAUUCUGCAGUAGGAUUUGUGAAUUUUAUCUUUUGUCCUUUCAACUCUCUUAUAGCAAAAACAGGGUGAAUGGAAAUAGUGGCUUUGUUUUUAAUGUACUUUUAAAGCUCAAUGCAGAGUUCACCUAUAACAAAAACCAAAUGGGAAGAACAGUACUUUUGUUAUGAAACCAACAAAUAUGUGGAAAGAAAUAGAAAUGCAUUUAUAGUAUAUUGGAAAACAAUUUCAAACUCAUAAUUAUAGUAUUAGCCCAAAUAAUACUUAUUAAAGUGGGACUCAUUAAAAAAGACCAGUCCACUCAACCUCUGGGCUAAUGUAUGGGCAUUAGAGAGAUAGUUGUGCCACAGAGGUCAUGUUUUAUAAGUAGACUAACUUCAUCUAGAGAUUCUAGAGACAAAUACCAUCCAUGUUUCAGAGAGGUACUUUGACACUUCUCCCUCCCUUCUUCCCUCAUUCCUUUUUCAUCUCCCACCCUCAUUUCCUUCUUUCCUUUCUAAUAUAGAGACUCAGGUGAAGUUGGCUUGGUUAACUCCAAACCAUAAGUCAUUGGGUUCUGGCAUUCUUCUCAGGUUCCUGGGGAUUAUGAAAGAUGACUUAUAUUGCUUUAUUCAUCUUUGGCUUUAGCUGCAGCCAUCGAUUUUAGGAGUCAUUUCCCCAUUCUGCAUGUGCUAUCCUGUUGUAUGCCUUGGUGUUUCAAAUGUCACAAGCUUUUUUUCCUUGAUUCCCUUACACUUUCCCCACUAACAAGUCUACCUGUAUUUAUUAUUACCUGCUUUUAUUGAUGGUUUUAGAGCGUGCUGUAAUUGAUUUUUAGACCAUUCAUACAUCCUCUAAACUCCUCUGCAUUCUCGAGCCUCCAAGAUAUUUGCCUCUCGCCCAAUCUCUCAUUUCUCUUGGCCCCUAGAAACAUCUCUCUCCCUCUUGCCCCCAAUCUCUUCCACUUUAUUAAGAGGAGAAUUCUGGGUCUCUUAAGCCUAGCCCAGAAUAUGGAAAACUCGCCCAUACCCUGUGCUUGAUGAUGGACCGUCAAUCAGCUCUGGCUCUUGCCAUUUUCCCCUCUAUGAUAUGUAAAGGGAAAGAAGGAAUCAGGUGAAUUAUUUUUCCCUGAUGUGAGUUAACCUUCCCUAGAGGGAAGAAGCAGAGUUUUGCGUAGGGUCUUUUUUUGUUUUGUUUUUAAGACUAAAUCUCCAUUAUGCAUUAUGACUUUGAAAAACAUAGUACACAAGAAGUUUAGACUUUAUCUGUUUUUGCUUGCUUGUUUUCCUUUAGGUUUCUUUUUUGUACUGUUGGUCAACUAUGCAAAGAUGAUAAGAUCCUAUUGACUAUGAAAUGGAAGGGAAUGACCAUGGGAUAGCUACGAAAGCCUUUUCCAAAAUUUUUGUUUGGGUUAUAUUCUUGGCAAGAUGUUGAGACAAUUAAAAAUUUUGUAUUGGAGUUCCCAUUGUGACACAGCAGAAACAAAUCCGGCUAGAAACCAUGAGGUUGUGGGUUUGAGUCCCGGCCUCGCUCAGUAGGUUAAGGAUCCAUUGUUGCUGUGAGCUGUGGUGUAAUUUGCAGACAUGGCUCGGAUCUGUCUUUGCUGUGGCUGUGGCAUAGGCCGGCAGCUGUAGCUCUGAUUUGACCCCUAGCCUGAGAACCUCCAUAUGCCACAGGUGUGGCCCU
Molecule: long non-coding RNA, 5177 nt
Filed under: Sus scrofa (pig)
Lineage: Eukaryota; Metazoa; Chordata; Mammalia; Artiodactyla; Suidae
Description: lncRNA (ENSSSCG00000054517.1)
Source: RNAcentral